CCUGUGCCUCAGAAUAUCGUGUUAAGGAAUGGUUCCGAGACCUUUGACUCCUGGAAGAAGCCCCCUCUGCCUGUGUACACCCAGUUCUAUUUCUUCAAUGUCACUAAUCCAGAGGAAAUCCUCAAUGGGGAGACCCCUUGGUUGGAAGACGUGGGGCCAUACACGUACAGGGAACUCAGAAACAAAGACGAAAUUCAAUUUGGAGAUAAUGGAACAACAAUAUCCGCUGUGAGCAACAAAGCCUAUGUUUUUGAACGAGACAAAUCUGUUGGAGACCCGAAAAUUGACUUACUUAGAACAAUAAAUAUUCUUGCAUUGACCGCCAUGGAAUGGAGCCAGCUGCCCUUACUCCGGGAGCUCAUCAAGGCCCUGCUGAAGGCCUAUCGGCAGAAGCUCUUUGUGACCCACAGGGUGGAUGAACUGCUCUGGGGUUACAAAGAUGAAAUCUUAUCCCUCAUCAGCGUUUUCAAACACGACGUCUCUCCCUAUUUUGGGCUGUUUUAUGGGAAAAAUGGGACUAAUGACGGAGACUAUGUUUUUCUAACUGGAGAAGACAAUUACCUUAACUUUUCCAAGAUUGUGGAAUGGAAUGGAAAAACGUCGCUUGACUGGUGGACAGCAGAUGAGUGCAAUAUGAUCAACGGAACAGAUGGAGACUCUUUUCACCCAUUAAUCACCAAAGAUGAAGUCCUUUAUGUCUUCCCAUCUGAUUUUUGCAGGUCAGUGUAAAUAACUUUCAGUGACUUUGAGAGUGUCCAGGGACUGCCUGCCUUGAGGUAUAAGGUGCCUGCAGAAAUAUUAGCCAAUACCUCAGACAACGCUGGCUUCUGUAUACCUAAAGGAAACUGCCUGGGCUCAGGAGUUUUGAAUGUCAGCGUCUGCAAGAAUGGUGCACCUAUUAUUAUAUCUUUCCCACACUUCUACGAGGCAGACGAAAAGUUUGUCUCUGCCAUUGAAGGCAUGCAUCCAAAUAAGGAAUAUCAUGAGACGUUUGUGGACAUCAAUCCUUUGACUGGAGUUAUCCUAAGAGCAGCCAAGAGGUUCCAAAUCAACGUUUAUGUCAGAAAAUUAGAUGACUUCAUUGAAACAGGAAACAUUCAAACCCUGGUUUUCCUAGUGAUGUACAUCAAUGAGAGUGUUCUCAUUGAUAAAGAGACUGCAAGUCGACUGAAGUCUGUGAUUAACACUACUCUGAUUGUCACCAACAUACCCUACAUUAUCAUGGCACUGGGUGUGUUCCUUGGUCUGAUCUUCACCUGGCUUGCGUGCAGAGGACAGGGAUCCACAGAUGAGGGAACUGCAGAUGAAAGAGCGCCCCCAUACGAACCUAAUCAAACCAGGAGCCGUGCUUGGGGAAGGAAGCAUGCGCACUGUUGUGACCUGGGCCGUGAUGACAUGGGGCAACCGCCUGUGUCCUCAUGGGCUUGCCACCUGGUGAGACAGGAGGAGGACACGCUCAUCACGGUGCUCCGGCGUGUGAUGAGCACCUUCCAGCAGAGGUUCAAGAACAGGCUGACCUGGUUGGCCGUUAGGAUCCUGUGA
This is an RNA transcript of Capra hircus (goat), 1542 nucleotides long. It is a transcript of the gene named lysosome membrane protein 2 pseudogene, with no coding region annotated. The transcript has a single exon. NCBI's taxonomy places the organism in Eukaryota, Metazoa, Chordata, Mammalia, Artiodactyla, Bovidae. The record is from RefSeq and is a predicted model, not a curated record.